GAAGACAAAAUUAUUGUUGGAGCUUUCAUACUUUCUAUCAAUGUAGCUUCCAUCCUUGCCCCAAACCCUCUAGACUUCACACAGUAUUCCUUAGCAUUGAGGGUCAUUGCCUCCUUCAACCUUCUCCAAUCAGUAGUAAAAUCACUUUCUAUUGUUCUAUCUUCUAAUACCUCAUUUACAGCUUGUAAGAAUAACUUUGAUUUUCUCACCUCUAGAAGACACUUCUCAGAUAAUAGAAGUUGUCCAAAUUUCUUUUCAAACUCUUUUAGCAACU
Molecule: long non-coding RNA, 274 nt
Filed under: Physcomitrium patens
Lineage: Eukaryota; Viridiplantae; Streptophyta; Bryopsida; Funariales; Funariaceae
Description: long non-coding RNA (PPAT_LNC009246)
Source: RNAcentral